AUCCAUCUGAGGAGUCCCAAAUGGGACGAAAUGAUCAUCCUGGAU
RNAcentral lists this non-coding RNA (45 nucleotides) under Trichobilharzia regenti. The record is from RNAcentral. Lineage: Eukaryota; Metazoa; Platyhelminthes; Trematoda; Strigeidida; Schistosomatidae.